RNAcentral lists this unclassified non-coding RNA (1728 nucleotides) under Hevea brasiliensis (rubber tree). The record is from RNAcentral. Lineage: Eukaryota; Viridiplantae; Streptophyta; Magnoliopsida; Malpighiales; Euphorbiaceae.
AAAAAAAAGGGGGAUGAAUUAGGCAGGCAUCCAAGCAGUAGCAAAUACAACAUUAUGUCCUUUCCAAGUAAGCACAAGGUCUUCUUCUUCCUUCUUUAAUCCCCACCCAGCUGCAUGCUCGCCAAGCAUAGUCUUAACUUCAGAAACUGCAUCUUCACAGAAAGAAAUGCUUCGAAAAUUUGCAUUUCUCAUCCUCUGAACCCACCUGUUCUUGGGUUCUAACCUCUCAACCCUCUGAAGACCCUCAUGAGCAAUAACAUUCUCAAUCUUCCAGCAUAUAUCAGCUUCAUACCACUGCCUUUGCUUGCUUCCUCUUGGAAGAAAUGUGUCCACAGUAUCAUAAGGAAUCCAUAGAUAAUUGAAAGCUGACCUUAAUCUACACACCAAAUUAUUUGAUGUUAAAUCAACAUCUUCAUCUACUAAGACAACAAUUGUUGGGUCUAAGCUUCUAAGGGAUUUCAGAAACAUGGUUCGAAGGGAAGACAUGGAAGAGCAAGAAGAAGACUCGAAAGAGUAAGGAUUUGAUGAGUUCGUACUAGUAAUAACACCAAAAAGGGUUUCUUCAGGAAUGUAAUGAAGCAACAUCUGACAAUUUAUGACAAGAGCCUCACCACUUUCUGCGUACACCAUAUUCUGCACCCUCAGAUGCUCGAUUAAGGAAGAGAAUCCAUCGGUGUAACUCGAUGGAACGACUCUAAAUUCCAUUAUUACGUUGCGUGACCUUGCGAAGUUUAUCAACUUUGAGCCCAACUCUUCAUAAGAAAGAUCAAGCAUCGGUGGUAUAUCUUCAGUGGCACCAGCAACUGUGAGCUUUAUCAAUGGGGUUACCUCGAAGCGAUUCGCUAUAGCAUCGAUAAGAGUAGGGAUUUGCAUGCAAUGAGUCAUGCUUAAAUCCACAAUAUGAACAGACGAAUACCCUUCAAUGGCUUCUAAUAUAGCAGCAUUAGCAGCAGUGAAACCGAAGCGAUGCCAUGGGGUUAGGUCCACAAACCCAGCAAGCUCAAUGACAGAGAAUUUAUGGGUAUCUAUAGCGAGAGUGCAGUGAGCAUUAGCCAUUGCAGCGAGGAGUUUGCAAGUACCGCUCUUGGCUGCACGUGCAAUGAGGGCUCUAAGGAAAGCACAUGUUAAGCGCUGAUUUGAGUCACCAUCUGGGGGUGCAAUGUUGUUUAGGACCCAAAGGAUCUGUUGAGCUAAAGUGGCAUCAUUGCUUUCAAUUGCGUUUGCACAGUGGACCAAAAGCUGCUCCAUGCAAUUCGCAUCACCAAAGCUGCCUAAGGCCUUUGAUGUAGGAAAUCCAGGCCAGGGACGAGUCCUUUGGGUUUGGUUCUUGUUCAUGUUGGGGUUUGAGAAUGGAGCAGUGAUUUGGUGCAAGGGUGGUGGUGGGGUUUCAGUGAAUUGCAUCAUGGACAAAGAGGAAAAAAGAGAGAGAGAGAGAGCAACAUGUGUCCAACGGCAAUUGCAGGAGGAGAUGGAAUAGCUGCAGCAUAUAGGGAAGAGGAAAUGAUGAAUAAGGAAGAGGAGUGCAAAGUUUGUUGAAGUUAGAAAAGUUUCUGCACAGGAGUCUAUCCUGGGGGUUGAAGAGCCAACCAUUUAUCUUCUAUCAUAUUUCUUUCUUUUAUUUUUCUUUGAUAUUAAGAAAGGAGUUGUAUUCAUUCUUGAUUGUACUGAGUUGUUGUGUAAAUACUCUUGUUGAGAAUUAAUACAAACUACUGCAGUUUCCUCUAAAAA